GACGAACGCUGGCGGCGUGCUUAACACAUGCAAGUCGAACGGAAAGGCCCUGCUUUUGUGGGGUUCUCGAUUGGCGAACGGGUGAGUAACACGUGAGUAACCUGCCCUUGUCUUUGGGAUAACUUCAGGAAACUGGGGCUACUAUAGGAUAGGAUCUCCUGUAGCAUGGUGGGGGGUGGAAAGUCUGGGCGGUUGGGGAUGGACUCGCGGCUUACCAGCUUGUUGGUGGGGUAGUGGCUGACCAAGGCUUUGACGGGUAGGCCGCCUGAGAGGGUGACAGGCCACAUAGGGACUGAGGUACGGCCCAGACUGCUACGGGAGGAAAAAGGGGGGAAUAUUGCACAAUGGGCGGCAGCCUGAUGAAGAAGCCCUGCGUGCGGGAAAGCGGCUUUCGGGUGAUAAACAGGUUUCGCCUGUAACGAACCCUGAUCGACGGUAAUGGAUAAAAAAGCACCGGCUAACUACGUG
Molecule: ribosomal RNA, 468 nt
Filed under: uncultured bacterium
Lineage: Bacteria
Description: partial 16S ribosomal RNA
Rfam family: Bacterial small subunit ribosomal RNA
Source: RNAcentral